UGCCUUUGUAAGAAACCAAACCUUUGUGGACGUGGAUGGACCUGGAAACCAUCAUUCUCAGCAAACUGACACAAGAACUGAAAAUCAAACACCAUAUGUUCUCACUUAAAGGCGGGUGUUGAACAAUGAGAACACAUGGACACGGGGUGGGGGAGCAUCACACACUGAGAAAUUCUGGUUUUAAUUAUAAUGGAAAGCUCUCAAAGAUGGAUGCAUUAUCUUUUUAUACUGGACCUUUUGCCACUCCACCAUCAAGAGAUAGGACAACAAUACCCUGGAAUCUAACAAAAAUGUGA
This 296-nucleotide long non-coding RNA is filed under the name Callithrix jacchus (white-tufted-ear marmoset). RNAcentral describes it as "lncRNA (ENSCJAG00000054926.2)". Lineage: Eukaryota; Metazoa; Chordata; Mammalia; Primates; Cebidae. The record is from RNAcentral.